AACGAACGCUGGCGGCAGGCCUAAAACAUGCAAGUCGAACGGGUGUAGCAAUACAUCAGUGGCGCACGGGUGAGUAACGCGUGGGAACGUGCCCAUGUCGUGGGGGAUAACGUAGCGAAAGCUACGCUAAUACCGCAUACGUCCUGAGGGAGAAAGCGGGGGAUCUUUGGACCUCGCGCGAUUGGAGCGGCCGAUGUCGGAUUAGCUAGUAGGUGAGGUAAAGGCUCACCUAGGCGACGAUCCGUAGCGGGUCUGAGAGGAUGAUCCGCCACACUGGGACUGAGACACGGCCCAGACUCCUACGGGAGGCAGCAGUGGGGAAUUUUGGACAAUGGGGGCAACCCUGAUCCAGCCAUGCCGCGUGAGUGAAGAAGGCCUUCGGGUUGUAAAGCUCUUUCGGCCGGGAAGAAAUCGUGGUCUCUAACAUAGGCCAUGGAUGACGGUACCGGACUAAGAAGCACCGGCUAACUACGUG
This 475-nucleotide ribosomal RNA is filed under the name uncultured bacterium. RNAcentral's name for it is "bacterial SSU rRNA". It matches the Rfam family "Bacterial small subunit ribosomal RNA", at positions 29 to 507 of the family's 1533-position model. The record is from RNAcentral.